GCAUGAAUUUGCCACAUUUGAAGGGCCGAAGCAGUAUCAAAUCACCUAUAGCCAUAGCAAUCAACCCAACUGAAGAUUUUCUGUGAUGUUUCGAGGAAGAGAGAAGGUUGGGCAAAAGAAGACAGGGAUUGAGAAGCCAAGAGGUGUGCAAAGAAAUAGAAAAAUCAAAUCUUGUGUCCUAUCUCUGAAACAUUGGGUCUCUGACAACACUGAAAAAAAGAAGUACGGAGUUUCAGCCUCAGUUUCUCCAUCUGUAAAAUGAAAGAAGUGGGCUCGGUGACCUCUGAAAUCUUUUCUAGCUCCACAUCUAAAAGUUUCCUAUGAAACAUAAGGCCUUAUAUAUCUCUGCCCAGCUUGUAACAAGACAUUCAUUCCUACUGUGCUAAGAACUGCUUGUAGCUUCAUGGAAAUGUAAUGCUGCCAAGAGUAAUCAAUGAAAUGUUGCUCUCUUACGCCAAGCUGCUACGCACAAGCCAUCCGGCCAGGCUUUAAAAGGUUAGGGCACUUAGACUGACACUAAAGAUUGUCUGUGCCAGGUUUAGUCAAGAAGACAGAUAUUGAACAUGUAGCACGUUUAUUUCCUGUUUUUCUAGGAGUAGGGCUUGAGAGACAGACAGCACCUGAAGACAGAGCACCAGACAAUAUGGGGGUAAGAUUUUUUUCAGCAUAUCUUUCUUGGGGGCUGUUGAGUUCUUUCCAAAUCAUUAGGUAAUUCAAAGAAUUUAGCCCAAUUAUACAUGUCUUGAUUUCCUUUUGAAGGGCAUCAAGUGAGGCCCAUAAUUUUUUUUAAAUGUUUUCCUUUUAUUUUUCAGUCUCGAAUUUACCACUUACAAUUAAACAUGAAGGCACUUGGCAAUAUUUCACUGUUUUGUUAGCAUUCUUUCUAAUUCUCCUGGGCACGUCAUGAGAUGGAAAACCACUAAGAGUGUUUUGGGGAUCAAGGCGUGUCUGCUUCUGUGAUCUAAAGGUUCAGUGACACU
Long non-coding RNA from Trichosurus vulpecula (common brushtail), 980 nucleotides. RefSeq lists it as uncharacterized. NCBI's taxonomy places the organism in Eukaryota, Metazoa, Chordata, Mammalia, Diprotodontia, Phalangeridae. The transcript is spliced from 3 exons. The record is from RefSeq and is a predicted model, not a curated record.